AUUGAACGCUGGCGGCAGGCCUAACACAUGCAAGUCGAGCGAGAAAGGUCUUCGGACUGAGUAGAGCGGCGGACGGGUGAGUAACGCGUAGGAAGCUACCCGGUAGCGGGGGAUAACUCGGGGAAACUCGAGCUAAUACCGCAUACGCCCUGAGGGGGAAAGCGGGGGAUCUUAGGACCUCGCACUAUCGGAUGCGCCUGCGUCGGAUUAGCUAGUUGGUAGGGUAACGGCCUACCAAGGCGACGAUCCGUAGCUGGUCUGAGAGGAUGAUCAGCCACACUGGGACUGAGACACGGCCCAGACUCCUACGGGAGGCAG
This 318-nucleotide ribosomal RNA is filed under the name uncultured Pseudomonadota bacterium. Its description in RNAcentral is "bacterial SSU rRNA". It matches the Rfam family "Bacterial small subunit ribosomal RNA", at positions 29 to 351 of the family's 1533-position model. Lineage: Bacteria; Pseudomonadati; Pseudomonadota. The record is from RNAcentral.